GUCAGGGGCAGCAACAUGAUGUCGCAGACCCAGGUCUUCAUGUGCCUGCUGCUCUGGGUCUCUGGUGUCUGUGGUGACACUGUGAUGACCCAGUCUCCAAGGAACCUGGCCGUGUCUGUUGGCGAGAGCGCCACCAUCCGCUGCAAGGCCAGCCAGAGUCUUCAAAGUGGUGGUAGCAACUACUUAGUCUGGUUCCAGCACAAACCAGGACAGUCUCCCAGACUGCUCAUCUACUGGGCAUUGACGCGGGCAUCUGGGGUCCCGGACUGGUUCAGUGGCAGCGGGUCUGGGACAGAUUUUACGCUCACCAUCAACAACCUGCAGGCUGAAGAUGUGGCCGAUUAUUACUGUCUGCAGUAUCAUAGCUUCCCUCCCACAGCGAUUCAUCCUUGAACAAAAACUUCCCCUCAGGCCUCCCCAGCUGCGUGCACAGGGCCCAGGGCACAACCACUUCCUCCAGCUGCCUGAGAG
This is a non-coding RNA of Octodon degus (degu), 471 nucleotides long. The record is from the annotation of a RefSeq genome assembly. NCBI's taxonomy places the organism in Eukaryota, Metazoa, Chordata, Mammalia, Rodentia, Octodontidae.